UACGAAGGGGGCUAGCGUUGCUCGGAAUUAUUGGGCGUAAAGGGCGCGUAGGCGGACAGUUUAGUCAGAGGUGAAAGCCCAGGGCUCAACCUUGGAACUGCCUUUGAUACUGGCUGUCUUGAGUUCGGGAGAGGUGAGUGGAAUGCCGAGUGUAGAGGUGAAAUUCGUAGAUAUUCGGCGGAACACCAGUGGCGAAGGCGACUCACUGGCCCGAUACUGACGCUGAGGCGCGAAAGCGUGGGGAGCAAACAGG
This 253-nucleotide ribosomal RNA is filed under the name uncultured bacterium. RNAcentral's name for it is "partial 16S ribosomal RNA". It matches the Rfam family "Bacterial small subunit ribosomal RNA", at positions 524 to 776 of the family's 1533-position model. The record is from RNAcentral.